This 366-nucleotide unclassified non-coding RNA is filed under the name uncultured Tremellomycetes. RNAcentral's name for it is "sequence contains ITS1". The stretch from base 1 to 105 matches the Rfam family "5.8S ribosomal RNA", at positions 50 to 154 of the family's 154-position model. Lineage: Eukaryota; Fungi; Basidiomycota; Tremellomycetes. The record is from RNAcentral.
GAAAUGCGAUAAGUAAUGUGAAUUGCAGAAUUCAGUGAAUCAUCGAAUCUUUGAACGCACCUUGCGCCCUUUGGUAUUCCGAAGAGCAUGCCUGUUUGAGUGUCAUGAAACUAUCAACCCCGACUUGGUUUACUCCUUGUCUUGGCUUGGACUUGGGUGUUUGCUGCUGCAAAGCUGCUCGCCUUAAAUGGAUUAGCUGGACCCUGCUUUGUGACUAGGUUUGACUCGGCGUAAUAAGUUAUUUCGCUGAGGACAUCUUUAGAUGGCCUAGUCGCUUUGCGAACAUCUGCUCUCUAACCCGUUCCCAAUUGGGACAUGACUUUUUAUUUUGGCCUCAAAUCAGGUAGGACUACCCGCUGAACUUAA